RNAcentral lists this long non-coding RNA (1781 nucleotides) under Homo sapiens (human). RNAcentral describes it as "HSALNT0003480". The record is from RNAcentral. Lineage: Eukaryota; Metazoa; Chordata; Mammalia; Primates; Hominidae.
CCUCAGAAGCUGAAGAGGUCAUCCUGCUCUGUGCCGCUGCUGUCAGGCCAGUGUCCAGGACCUGAGGGUUUGUCCGAGACUGGGCAAGCCUGGAAGGCAGAGCUGUGUGAGCCGAGAGCCUGGGUGAGGGCUGGCGCGCCCCAGGGUCAGACGCGAGGGGGCACCAGUGGGGAACAGCAGGGCACAUGGCCCAAGAAGGAAGCCCCCGGUGCAGGGGAGGUGGAGUAACCUCAGAUCAAAGCACCUCCCCUUGAGAGUCAAACAGCUCAGAAAAGUCAGGGGCAGCCAGCGGUGCACCCACCCCCGGGAGAGGCCAGAGCACCCACUCUGUGCCCCAGCUCAGUCAGGACAUGCCCAGGAAAGAGGAGAAGGGGCUGGUAAAGGGAGCAGCGGGGGUGGGGGUGGGGUGGGGAACAAGCUGUGGGAGGGAACACGGAAGAUUCUUUGGCUAUAACUGUGUCAACACCGUGCUGUUCGAAAAAUAAAUUUACAAAGGGAGACAACCUACAUGUCCAAAAGAAUAGGGGAGAGUCAAGUAAAUUAUAGCAGCUUCCCUUAAGAGAAUGUUAGGCAGUCAAUGGAAGAGGUGUUUACGAGGAGCUUUUAACAGCCUGGAGCAAUGCUUCUGACACAUCGCUGUUAAGUGAAAAAUCAGGAUCCCAAAAUGCAAAUACGAUGAGCUGAUCAAUGCAAAAUAAUGUAUAUGUAUAGGAUUAGCAUGAAUUAAGCCCAAAACUCUGGGCUGUGGGAUUACAGGAUGGUGUUACUUUCUGUUUAAUGCUUUGCUGAUUUUCAAAAUUGUUAAUAAAGGGCACAUGAUGCUCAAAAUAAUGUGGAGAAAGCAAACAAAAGAUUUUCUUCAGAGGGCAGGUGUCGUCAGCCAGUGAGGCAGGGAAGGUGUCACUGUCGCCCUCGCCCCAGGCUGGACCAAGGGGUUUCCACUAGUCCCUGGCAAGAAGGAGGCAAGGAAGAGGAAGGAGGAGGCAGGAGGGCAAAGACCCUGACUCUGUCCCCACCCGCUGGACCAAAAAUCGCUGACUCCAACCCCAAACAAAGCCCCUGAUGUGGGAGGGCUGUAGGAGGCUGCUGAGGGUCUCAAGUGAGAAAGGGAGGCCUGACAGACGGGGACCCAGGGCUCGGAACCCUGACCUGCCCAGGCCUCUCCUCAGCCACAGCCUUCUCAGUGGCAUGUCCCCAAGCUGCAGGGGGCCACAAGGAUGGCCCCUGGGAAAACGGGGAAAUGCCACCAAAGGCUAUACCAAAACACCUCCUCACUGUGCCUGACCUUCCCUGCUAUGGAACGCUUCACGAGCUUCAUUAAACACUUUCUCCCUUCCCCUGUUCAUAAACACAGACCUGUGGAGGGAGCAAAGCCUGUAAAAAAAAAAAAAAGCCCAUUUUUGAAGGCCACGCCUCCUCAAGUCGGAGGAAAUCAACUUGAGCUGCAGUGUGUUUCGCUCACCUCAGACUGCGGCAGAGCAGCCACCAGGAAUAGUUUUUGACUCAACAGUAAGAACUUUCUAACAGCUCUGGACAACGCUGGAAGGGGUUUCCUCCCCAGUGAGCUCCCUGCCCCUGGAAGCAUUUGAGUGGAGGGAUGGGACUGUUGCUCUGGAGGGGGUCUGAGUGGCUUGUGUUCUUAAUCAGGGGAAAGGUCCCCAGGAGAAAGGGCAGCAGGGCCAGCCCACGCACACCAGGCCCCCUACCCAGCACAGGAAGCUAGCAUUACCUCGAAAACGCUUCAUCCAGGCCAUCAUCCAGCUCCUUGGGGAAAACAAAGC